CGUGGCCGUGGGCGAUGGUGGCGCGCGGCUGGUGGUCUUGAGCCACCACGCUUCGCGCUCCGGUUGCGAGGCCUCGA
RNAcentral lists this transfer RNA (77 nucleotides) under Paraburkholderia nemoris. RNAcentral describes it as "Paraburkholderia sp. LMG 31836 tRNA-Gln". The record is from RNAcentral. Lineage: Bacteria; Pseudomonadati; Pseudomonadota; Betaproteobacteria; Burkholderiales; Burkholderiaceae.